AGCAGCCGCGGUAAUUCCAGCUCCAAUAGCGUAUAUUAAAGUUGUUGCAGUUAAAAAGCUCGUAGUUGAAUUUCGGGAUCAGUACGCUGGUCGUGCCUUUGGUAUGUACUGGUGUCACUGAUUCCUCCCUUCUGAAGAACCGUUAUGCCAUUUAUUUGGUGUGGCGGGGAAUCAGGACUGUUACUUUGAAAAAAUUAGAGUGUUUAAAGCAGGCUCGCGCUUGAAUACAUUAGCAUGGAAUAAUGAAAUAGGACGUUUGAUCCUAUUUUGUUGGUUUCUAGGAUCGACGUAAUGAUUAAUAGGGAUAGUUGGGGGCAUUAGUAUUCAAUUGUCAGAGGUGAAAUUCUUGGAUUUAUUGAAGACUAACUACUGCGAAAGCAUUUGCCAAGGAUGUUUUCAUUAAUCAAGAACGAAAGUUAGGGGAUCGAAGACGAUCAGAUACCGUCGUAGUCUUAACCAUAAACUAUGCCGACUAGGGAUCGGAUGAUG
RNAcentral lists this ribosomal RNA (489 nucleotides) under uncultured Glomus. RNAcentral describes it as "SSU rRNA". It matches the Rfam family "Eukaryotic small subunit ribosomal RNA", at positions 569 to 1062 of the family's 1831-position model. Lineage: Eukaryota; Fungi; Glomeromycota; Glomeromycetes; Glomerales; Glomeraceae. The record is from RNAcentral.